UACGAAACAUUGUAAACGAUAACAGUGAUUAAUUAGGAAAUUUGCGUUGACACUUUAAGAAAAAUAUGGUAGUAUUGACCUGUAACAGUUCUUAUUUAUCUAUGUAGGAGGAUUUAUUCAAUGAAAAAAGGUACAGUAAAAUGGUUCAACGCAGAAAAAGGUUUUGGUUUUAUUUCCGUUCCUGGUGAAGAUGAUGUAUUCGUUCAUUUCUCUGCAAUUCAGGUUGAUGGCUACAAAACACUUGAAGAAGGUCAGGAAGUUGAGUUUGAAGUUGUUCAGGGCGCAAAAGGUCCUCAGGCUGCCAAUGUAACACGUGCUUAAUCGAUUUUGAUUCUGUAUUGAAAAUGCCUAGGCAUUGAUAA
The sequence is a regulatory RNA element, 362 nucleotides long. It matches the Rfam family "cspA thermoregulator". The record is from Rfam.